This 543-nucleotide ribosomal RNA is filed under the name Parlatoria blanchardi. Its description in RNAcentral is "eukaryotic LSU rRNA". Lineage: Eukaryota; Metazoa; Arthropoda; Insecta; Hemiptera; Diaspididae. The record is from RNAcentral.
AUCCAGGCGGCGGAAUUCAGGAUGGCGGGCGUGUCUUGAGGGGCGCGUUCGUCGUUUGAUAUUUCCGCCGCCGAAGACGUCGCGACCUGUUCGCGGUUGGUCCCUGCUCGGAGGAGCCGCGUUCGAGUUCGUUGUGGGCGCGUUUUUACGCGUUACACGGCGAAGACGCGGAUCUCUGGCUGACCGACGGACAGUACGCUACAAACGGUGUCCGAUGUCGUCGUCUCGUACGCGCGCGCAUCGGUACCGGUCGGCGACGAAUUCUUCGGGCCUCUUUCCGACCCGUCUUGAAACACGGACCAAGGAGUCUAACAUGCGCGCGAGUCGCGGGGUGUCGAGCGUAUCACGGUACGCUCGUUACGUUACGAAACCCGUACAUGUCGAAGGCGUAAUGAAAGUAAAUGGGGAAGAUGGUGUUCCGAGUACACGUUCCGCGGUCGUCGGUACCGCGGCCGGGCACCCGCAUUCCCGGGGCGUCUCAACGGCCCGUCGCGGAUGCGGACAGUCGUCUCUCGGGGCGGCUGUCGGUCUGCGACGAACCGA